Molecule: ribosomal RNA, 329 nt
Filed under: uncultured eukaryote
Lineage: Eukaryota
Description: partial 18S ribosomal RNA
Rfam family: Eukaryotic small subunit ribosomal RNA
Source: RNAcentral
CCCUUAGAUGUUCUGGGCCGCACGUGCGCUACACUGAUGCAUUCAACGAGUCUAAAACCUGCUCUGAUAGGGGUGGGUAAUCUUUUGAAUGUGCAUCGUGAUUGGGAUAGAUGAUUGCAAUUUUUCAUCUUCAACGAGGAAUGCCUAGUAAACGCAAGUCAUCAGCUUGCAUUGAUUACGUCCCUGCCCUUUGUACACACCGCCCGUCGCUCCUACCGAUUGAAUGAUACGAUGAAUAUCAUGGAUUGAGGAUGCAAGUAGGUUCGCCUAUCUUCAUCUUCGAGAAGUGAAGUAAAUCUUAUCAUUUAGAGGAAGGAGAAGUCGUAACA